UACCAUCUACUUUCUUUAGGCCCCUAGACCCUAGCUAUAAUUGUUCAUUGAUUAUUCACCUCUAGUCCAUUUAUAUUCUCAUCAACUUCACAUACUUUAUCUUAGGCAAUCUCCCAUUUUCUUUUCACACAAAGAAAGCAAUUUAGGGAAAAACACAGAAAGAAGAAGAAGAAAGAAAAUGAAUGCUCCUCCAAAAUAUCAAAAUAUGUCAUACUAUGAACAUGUCCAAAGGCGCCAUGAAGAAAAGGGAUGCCUAUAUGCUUGGUUUGUAUCACAAAAUCUAAUCUUUUUUUUUCUUUAUUGACAUUAUUCUUUUAGUUUUACUUCUUUAGUAAAAAAAAAUAGUAGAGGCGGAAUCAGAAUAAGUGUACAUGUCUCAAGCUUUAAUGCGUUCAAUUUUUAAAGUUCAUAGUAUUAAACUCACUGUACAUCUGAAAUUAUGGGUUCAAAAUUUAAUAUAUAUUGAAAAUUUAGUGAUUUUUCACGUAUAUAUUUAUUUUCCGUGUCACUUCACAUGUACUCAACACUUUGCCUAUGUGCAAAAAGCAUAGCCAAACUCAAACCGGAUAAAGAAAAAAGGUUGCGGCAAGUAUAAAUAUAGUGUAACUAUGGUGAAUUAUUUGGAAUAUUGAAUUUAACUCGAACUAAUUUGGAAUUAAUUCAUAGUUGAGUGAUAUAUAAAUAUUCAUGUUCUAAUCUUUUAUUUUAUUUUUUUGAAUUUAAAAAUCUUAAAAUUGCAGUAUGUUCACGCUAUGUUGCUGCUUCUGCUGCUACGAAACUUGCGAGUGCUGCUUAAGUUCUGUCUGCUGUUGCUGCCCUUGAAGCAAACAAUUAUCAGUAAUGCAAUGUAUUUCUAUGUUACGCUGACUCUCCAAAAUGUUGCCGCAUCCGUAUUGGAUUCUUCAACCGGCAUGCACUUGACGACAUUUUCGGAGAAUCCAAGCAAUAUAGGUGUAUUUUACAAGAUUGUUAUUAGUAGUUGAUGUUUCAAUAAAACGGGAUGUUAGUAUAUUACAUAUCACUAUUGUAUCUACUAUGUUUUAUAUCCUUGUAAUUUAAAUUAUUAUUAGUUAAUGAUAAAAGUUAAACCUCUAUCAUUACGUAUCUAAGUUAUAUAUACUGACAGAGCGACAAUGUAAAUAUUUUUUAUAAUAGCAAUGCAGUUUAAUAUAUGCUCACUUCGCCGUCUCAAGCCAAUAUAAAGGAAGAGGAUAGCGAUAGGCUGACUGCCAACUAAAUAAUGUUGAAAGCGGUGUAGUUUAACUUGUUAUCACAGGUUAGUUAUAUUAUAAUUAAGGAUUGAGAAGAAGGUGGUUGGCUUGACGAAAAGGGUAAUGAUAG
This 1341-nucleotide long non-coding RNA is filed under the name Nicotiana tabacum (common tobacco). RNAcentral's name for it is "long non-coding RNA (NTAB_LNC005834)". The record is from RNAcentral. Lineage: Eukaryota; Viridiplantae; Streptophyta; Magnoliopsida; Solanales; Solanaceae.